Molecule: long non-coding RNA, 1372 nt
Filed under: Fukomys damarensis (Damara mole-rat)
Lineage: Eukaryota; Metazoa; Chordata; Mammalia; Rodentia; Bathyergidae
Description: lncRNA (ENSFDAG00000031159.1)
Source: RNAcentral
AUGCCCCUUCACGGUAGCCUAGGGGCCCCUCUCCCUGCUGAUGGAGAGUCACAGCCCCAGAGAGUGGGCACACGGGGCACCCCAGCCCAGAGUGAAGGGCCAGUCCUGGCUUCUGUGUUCUUAGGGGUUCAGAGGGGCCCCGGCUUCUCUCCCUGCAGGGAGGGUCAGGCGGGGCUGCUGCCCGGUGGUCUGGGCUCAGAGCCUGUGGGCAGUUUCCUGAGUAGACUGGAGGGGACCCCACCCCUCAGUCUGGAGUCCCCAUGGCCCCGCCCCAAAGAGCGAGGCCUGAGCCCCUGUUCAGGCUCAGGAGCCUCUUCGGCAGAAGAAUCCGCUGUCUCCCUCCUCCAGCAUCCACUGCACUCCCUUCUGCUGGGUGCAAGGAGCAGCCACAGGGAGCAGGGCCUGAGGCUCCUUCCUAGGAAGAUGCAGGGCGCCAUGGGUCACGUCACAGCCGCACUGGACAUCUGUAACAUUGAGCCACAAAGGAGCGCACCGAUCCCCACCAGAAAGACCCCGAGCCAGGAGAAAGAGUGCAGGGGAUGUCGGAAUAUUUGGAGCCAAGCGUUACCAGGUGAAUUGUAACCGAGACCAAAAGAUAUUCGAACAAGCCGGGAAGACUGGACACAGGCGCCACGCGGGGCGGUGGUGGGGCUUGGGGUGCGCCGUGCGCGGCUCUGAGGGGCCGAGUUCCCAGCCCGCUGCCCCUCACAAUUGUCUCACUGUGCUUUUCUCCGCGUCCUGCUUCUUUCAUUCCCUGCUCUGCACAAGAGUUGUAUUCAGUGAACCUAUAGGGAAGAAAAAGCAAACAUAUAACUUUUUCCAUAAGGAAACUCGUGGGAGGUGGGCUCUGGCCUUGCGGAAUGACCGCGGCGGUGUUAUGUUUCUGUCGCUUCUCCCGCGCUUCUAACUCAAGCAGUUAGACCGGCACCUACUGAGCACCUACUAAGGGCCCGGCUCCUCUGGGUGCCGGGGGAGGGGGCGGGUAAGAGGCGCUGCACACAAACUCCUUCCCCCACGGAGUUGCCUCCUAGUGGAGAAGACACCUUCACGGAGGCGUGGAGCGGAACAAUCAGACAAGGGGCCAAAGGCUUUUGCAGGUCAGCAACGGGAGGGAAGGGUGAGAAGGAUCCCGCUGUGGGCCCAAGAAAGACCUCUCCUUCCGGCCUCCCCUCCUAUUGGGGUCUUAGUUGGGGCGCUCUCACCUGAGCCCGGCCCUGAGCAGGGACCUCCAGAAACCCCCACCCGCCAAGGUGCGAAACACUAAGUCUGAACCUUUGUUUUUGCAGCUAUAGAGUUUCCUCGUGCCUUCAGAAGCCCCGGGAAAGUAUUUGUUGAACAAGAGCAUUCAGUUAUUUCCCAGUCUUUCCCGCCC